RNAcentral lists this ribosomal RNA (814 nucleotides) under Streptomyces sp. Its description in RNAcentral is "bacterial SSU rRNA". It matches the Rfam family "Bacterial small subunit ribosomal RNA", at positions 91 to 902 of the family's 1533-position model. The record is from RNAcentral. Lineage: Bacteria; Bacillati; Actinomycetota; Actinomycetes; Kitasatosporales; Streptomycetaceae.
GUGAGUGGCGAACGGGUGAGUAACACGUGGGCAACCUGCCCUGCACUCUGGGAUAACUUCGGGAAACCGGAGCUAAUACCGGAUGAUAUCUUCCAUCGCAUGGUGGGGGGUUGAAAGUUCCGGCGGUGCAGGAUGGGCCCGCGGCCUAUCAGCUUGUUGGUGGGGUAGUGGCCUACCAAGGCGACGACGGGUAGCCGGCCUGAGAGGGCGACCGGCCACACUGGGACUGAGACACGGCCCAGACUCCUACGGGAGGCAGCAGUGGGGAAUAUUGCGCAAUGGGCGAAAGCCUGACGCAGCGACGCCGCGUGAGGGAUGACGGCCUUCGGGUUGUAAACCUCUUUCAGCAGGGAAGAAGCGGUCGGGUUCUCCCGGGCGUGACGGUACCUGAAGAAGAAGCACCGGCUAACUACGUGCCAGCAGCCGCGGUAAUACGUAGGGUGCGAGCGUUGUCCGGAAUUAUUGGGCGUAAAGAGCUCGUAGGCGGCCUGUCGCGUCGGAUGUGAAAACUCGGGGCUUAACCCCGAGCCUGCAUUCGAUACGGGCAGGCUAGAGUUCGGCAGGGGAGACUGGAAUUCCUGGUGUAGCGGUGAAAUGCGCAGAUAUCAGGAGGAACACCGGUGGCGAAGGCGGGUCUCUGGGCCGAUACUGACGCUGAGGAGCGAAAGCGUGGGGAGCGAACAGGAUUAGAUACCCUGGUAGUCCACGCCGUAAACGUUGGGAACUAGGUGUGGGCGACAUUCCACGUCGUCCGUGCCGCAGCUAACGCAUUAAGUUCCCCGCCUGGGGAGUACGGCCGCAAGGGCUAAAACUC